Sphaeramia orbicularis (orbiculate cardinalfish) is the source of this 95-nucleotide long non-coding RNA. RefSeq lists it as uncharacterized. NCBI's taxonomy places the organism in Eukaryota, Metazoa, Chordata, Actinopteri, Kurtiformes, Apogonidae. The record is from RefSeq and is a predicted model, not a curated record. The transcript has 3 exons.
AAUCAAUCAAUCAAAUUGUUUUUAUAUAGAGCCAAAUCAUAACCAAAGUUAGCUCAUUACACUUUACAUAUAGAGUUGUCAAACUCAGACUCUCA